GAUGAACGCUAGCGGCAGGCUUAACACAUGCAAGUCGAGGGGUAACAUUGGUGCUUGCACCAGAUGACGACCGGCGCACGGGUGCGUAACGCGUAUAGAACUUACCUUUUACAGAGGGAUAGCCUUUAGAAAUGAAGAUUAAUACCUCAUAGUAUCGAGACUUGGCAUCAAGACUUAAUUAAAGAUUUAUCGGUAAAAGAUGGCUAUGCGUUCUAUUAGCUAGUUGGUUUGGUAACGGCAUACCAAGGCUACGAUAGAUAGGGGUCCUGAGAGGGAGAUCCCCCACACUGGUACUGAGACACGGACCAG
Molecule: ribosomal RNA, 309 nt
Filed under: uncultured Polaribacter sp.
Lineage: Bacteria; Pseudomonadati; Bacteroidota; Flavobacteriia; Flavobacteriales; Flavobacteriaceae
Description: bacterial SSU rRNA
Rfam family: Bacterial small subunit ribosomal RNA
Source: RNAcentral